RNAcentral lists this ribosomal RNA (2930 nucleotides) under Escherichia coli. Its description in RNAcentral is "23S ribosomal RNA". It matches the Rfam family "Bacterial large subunit ribosomal RNA". The record is from RNAcentral. Lineage: Bacteria; Pseudomonadati; Pseudomonadota; Gammaproteobacteria; Enterobacterales; Enterobacteriaceae.
GGGUUGUGAGGUUAAGCGACUAAGCGUACACGGUGGAUGCCCUGGCAGUCAGAGGCGAUGAAGGACGUGCUAAUCUGCGAUAAGCGUCGGUAAGGUGAUAUGAACCGUUAUAACCGGCGAUUUCCGAAUGGGGAAACCCAGUGUGUUUCGACACACUAUCAUUAACUGAAUCCAUAGGUUAAUGAGGCGAACCGGGGGAACUGAAACAUCUAAGUACCCCGAGGAAAAGAAAUCAACCGAGAUUCCCCCAGUAGCGGCGAGCGAACGGGGAGCAGCCCAGAGCCUGAAUCAGUGUGUGUGUUAGUGGAAGCGUCUGGAAAGGCGCGCGAUACAGGGUGACAGCCCCGUACACAAAAAUGCACAUGCUGUGAGCUCGAUGAGUAGGGCGGGACACGUGGUAUCCUGUCUGAAUAUGGGGGGACCAUCCUCCAAGGCUAAAUACUCCUGACUGACCGAUAGUGAACCAGUACCGUGAGGGAAAGGCGAAAAGAACCCCGGCGAGGGGAGUGAAAAAGAACCUGAAACCGUGUACGUACAAGCAGUGGGAGCACGCUUAGGCGUGUGACUGCGUACCUUUUGUAUAAUGGGUCAGCGACUUAUAUUCUGUAGCAAGGUUAACCGAAUAGGGGAGCCGAAGGGAAACCGAGUCUUAACUGGGCGUUAAGUUGCAGGGUAUAGACCCGAAACCCGGUGAUCUAGCCAUGGGCAGGUUGAAGGUUGGGUAACACUAACUGGAGGACCGAACCGACUAAUGUUGAAAAAUUAGCGGAUGACUUGUGGCUGGGGGUGAAAGGCCAAUCAAACCGGGAGAUAGCUGGUUCUCCCCGAAAGCUAUUUAGGUAGCGCCUCGUGAAUUCAUCUCCGGGGGUAGAGCACUGUUUCGGCAAGGGGGUCAUCCCGACUUACCAACCCGAUGCAAACUGCGAAUACCGGAGAAUGUUAUCACGGGAGACACACGGCGGGUGCUAACGUCCGUCGUGAAGAGGGAAACAACCCAGACCGCCAGCUAAGGUCCCAAAGUCAUGGUUAAGUGGGAAACGAUGUGGGAAGGCCCAGACAGCCAGGAUGUUGGCUUAGAAGCAGCCAUCAUUUAAAGAAAGCGUAAUAGCUCACUGGUCGAGUCGGCCUGCGCGGAAGAUGUAACGGGGCUAAACCAUGCACCGAAGCUGCGGCAGCGACGCUGAUGCGUUGUUGGGUAGGGGAGCGUUCUGUAAGCCUGCGAAGGUGUGCUGUGAGGCAUGCUGGAGGUAUCAGAAGUGCGAAUGCUGACAUAAGUAACGAUAAAGCGGGUGAAAAGCCCGCUCGCCGGAAGACCAAGGGUUCCUGUCCAACGUUAAUCGGGGCAGGGUGAGUCGACCCCUAAGGCGAGGCCGAAAGGCGUAGUCGAUGGGAAACAGGUUAAUAUUCCUGUACUUGGUGUUACUGCGAAGGGGGGACGGAGAAGGCUAUGUUGGCCGGGCGACGGUUGUCCCGGUUUAAGCGUGUAGGCUGGUUUUCCAGGCAAAUCCGGAAAAUCAAGGCUGAGGCGUGAUGACGAGGCACUACGGUGCUGAAGCAACAAAUGCCCUGCUUCCAGGAAAAGCCUCUAAGCAUCAGGUAACAUCAAAUCGUACCCCAAACCGACACAGGUGGUCAGGUAGAGAAUACCAAGGCGCUUGAGAGAACUCGGGUGAAGGAACUAGGCAAAAUGGUGCCGUAACUUCGGGAGAAGGCACGCUGAUAUGUAGGUGAGGUCCCUCGCGGAUGGAGCUGAAAUCAGUCGAAGAUACCAGCUGGCUGCAACUGUUUAUUAAAAACACAGCACUGUGCAAACACGAAAGUGGACGUAUACGGUGUGACGCCUGCCCGGUGCCGGAAGGUUAAUUGAUGGGGUUAGCGCAAGCGAAGCUCUUGAUCGAAGCCCCGGUAAACGGCGGCCGUAACUAUAACGGUCCUAAGGUAGCGAAAUUCCUUGUCGGGUAAGUUCCGACCUGCACGAAUGGCGUAAUGAUGGCCAGGCUGUCUCCACCCGAGACUCAGUGAAAUUGAACUCGCUGUGAAGAUGCAGUGUACCCGCGGCAAGACGGAAAGACCCCGUGAACCUUUACUAUAGCUUGACACUGAACAUUGAGCCUUGAUGUGUAGGAUAGGUGGGAGGCUUAGAAGUGUGGACGCCAGUCUGCAUGGAGCCGACCUUGAAAUACCACCCUUUAAUGUUUGAUGUUCUAACGUGGACCCGUAAUCCGGGUUGCGGACAGUGUCUGGUGGGUAGUUUGACUGGGGCGGUCUCCUCCUAAAGAGUAACGGAGGAGCACGAAGGUUGGCUAAUCCUGGUCGGACAUCAGGAGGUUAGUGCAAUGGCAUAAGCCAGCUUGACUGCGAGCGUGACGGCGCGAGCAGGUGCGAAAGCAGGUCAUAGUGAUCCGGUGGUUCUGAAUGGAAGGGCCAUCGCUCAACGGAUAAAAGGUACUCCGGGGAUAACAGGCUGAUACCGCCCAAGAGUUCAUAUCGACGGCGGUGUUUGGCACCUCGAUGUCGGCUCAUCACAUCCUGGGGCUGAAGUAGGUCCCAAGGGUAUGGCUGUUCGCCAUUUAAAGUGGUACGCGAGCUGGGUUUAGAACGUCGUGAGACAGUUCGGUCCCUAUCUGCCGUGGGCGCUGGAGAACUGAGGGGGGCUGCUCCUAGUACGAGAGGACCGGAGUGGACGCAUCACUGGUGUUCGGGUUGUCAUGCCAAUGGCACUGCCCGGUAGCUAAAUGCGGAAGAGAUAAGUGCUGAAAGCAUCUAAGCACGAAACUUGCCCCGAGAUGAGUUCUCCCUGACCCUUUAAGGGUCCUGAAGGAACGUUGAAGACGACGACGUUGAUAGGCCGGGUGUGUAAGCGCAGCGAUGCGUUGAGCUAACCGGUACUAAUGAACCGUGAGGCUUAACCUUACAACGCCGAAGCUGUU